Molecule: RNA transcript, 1980 nt
Organism: Dendrobium catenatum
Lineage: Eukaryota; Viridiplantae; Streptophyta; Magnoliopsida; Asparagales; Orchidaceae
Exons: 2
Source: RefSeq, a predicted model, not a curated record
GCCAAAAGGCGCCUCUAUGUUUAACAAUUUGGCUUCUUUUUUAAAUAAAGGAUUUCAUAAUUGUCUUGAUCAGUAACUUUUUUAUCAGAAUCAUCCACUAUAGUGACUAAAUAUUUAAAUAUUAUUUUAUUAAAAUAUGAAUUAUUUACGAAUACUAGUUAUUCAAUAAUAAUUAUUAAAUAUUUAUUUACUCCCUAAUUAUUUAAUUAUUUAAUUAUUUUUACACUUCUGAUGAUUUAAUUAAUUAUUUACAAUUUUAGUAAUAUUUGGCCUGGGAAGUGUUUUGCUUUUCGUAGGCUCUAUUUGUUCACCAAGUUACAGUUCAGUUCGGCUACUUCGUCCUAGGCAGGGUUUUUAACAGUUGCUAAUACUCUUUUGAUGGCGUUCCAUCUUGUUAUUGCGGGAGUCUUGACAGUUCGAGCGAUUUCUUGCUGUUGGAUUGGAACGACGAGAGCUCGCUCGUUGCGGAAGUAACCAUCUUUCUACCCCGGCCACAUCCGUAAAUCCUCCGAACUCCACCAGAUUUAGUAAAUCCGAGGUUUACGGCAUGAAGAGCGAUUUUAGGAUAAAUCCUGCUUGAAUCUUAAACAGCCCCUACAGUCCGAAACCCUAGUUUAUGACAAAGAAGAGAGGAAAUCGACGGAAGGUUGUUGGAGAAGACCGAGUGGAGCUCGUGAUGAGUCUUGGGGAUUUAAGUAAAAUCCGUCCAAUUCAAAACGGGAGUAAAACGGGUUUCCAGAUGGAAGUUCUAUCAGUAGGUUGAUAUCUUUCAUGAAAUUGAGUUAGGACAUGUGAUGGCCUGAUCAUAUGCCAGUUAUCAAGAUUUUUACCAUGCACCCUAUUCAGUAAUGUGGUAUUGUAUCUUGUACGUGUAAGAAUUUGUGAGGCUAAUGCUGAUGAUGUCAUGGAAUGUAGCCAUCAUGUACGCUUUUGCUAUGUAAUUUCUGUUGCUCGUUGACUAUGGUCCCUGUGAUCUCCGUCGCCCGCCAACUAUGAUUAAAACUGAUCAUUGAUGUAAUCCAACUGAAAUAGGAAAAUACUUGGUCAAACUUCCUUGUGCUUGAACACCAUGUAACAGUUCCUGCAUACAUAUGGUUAAUGACUCGAGUAUAAGCAUUAUUAAGUACUUUCUUUUCUAGAACUCUCUGAGGGCACUUCUUUUGGAGCUUUAUCAUAUGCUUUUUCUUAAUCAAUAAAUAUCAAAUGCAGGCCCUCCUUAUUCUCUCUAUACUUCUCCUUGAAAACCCUCAAUAAAUGGAUAGCUUCCAUAGUAGACCUACGUGGCAUGAAUUUAAAUUGAUUUUGAGAAACAUUAGUAUCAUCAAUCAUGUUGUAUUAUGUGCUCAAUUACUCUCUCUCAUAGUUUUAAUGUAUGACACAGUGGUUGGCUCCCUCACACAAGGGGUCUCGGUGGCAUACCAUUUCAUUACUCCAAGCAGUGAAAUGCUUUAUUAUAUUUAUUUUUUUAUUUUAAUAUAAAUAUUUUUAGAAAAUAUUUUAAUUAUUUUUAGUAAUAAUUUUUUUAAUAUUCUUUUCAAAGGAGUAAUUAGAAAAAUUAAAUAAAGUAUUAUUUUUAAAACUUUGAAUUCAGGCUAAUAUAUUUUUUGAUAAAUUAUGAAAAACUCAGCCAUUGGCUGCAUAUGACUGCUGUGGGACAUCUCUGAGUUUCUUAUGCUAAUGGCAUGUCAUCUCACAAUGGGCCGGAGCUUUCCAGGAUUGCUAUCACCAGGAGGUUCAAUGCAUUGCAAUCAGUUGAAACCUUCUUCAUUCAUUUUGCGAAUAUUAUGCUUUCUGCUUUUGGGUGCUACACAAUGUUCAAUAUGGUAGACAUUACUUUCUUUGAAGUUCCAAAAACAUUCCUUACUAAGGCUGUUGUAGAUGUAUAUUUGUGCAAAUGUUGCUGUGGAACAAGCUUUCUGGGAUGUUGCACAAAGUUUUGAUAUUGUAGAUUAUCAAAUAUGAAUGAUCAUUGCUCUUUUU